This 253-nucleotide ribosomal RNA is filed under the name uncultured bacterium. RNAcentral's name for it is "partial 16S ribosomal RNA". It matches the Rfam family "Bacterial small subunit ribosomal RNA", at positions 524 to 776 of the family's 1533-position model. The record is from RNAcentral.
UACAGAGGGGGCAAGCGUUGCUCGGAAUCACUGGGCGUAAAGGGCUUGUAGGCGACCAACUAAGUCCGACGUGAAAUCCCCAGGCUUAACCUGGGAACUGCGUCGGAUACUGGAUGGCUUGAAUUCGGGAGAGGGAUGCAGAAUUCCAGGUGUAGCGGUGAAAUGCGUAGAUAUCUGGAGGAAUACCGGUGGCGAAGGCGGCAUCCUGGACCGACAUUGACGCUGAGGAGCGAAAGCUAGGGGAGCAAACGGG